UACGUAGGGUGCGAGCGUUUGUCCGGAAUUAUUGGGCGUAAAGAGCUUGUAGGCGGUCUGUCGCGUCUGCUGUGAAAAUCCGGGGCUCAACCCCGGACUUGCAGUGGGUACGGGCAGACUAGAGUGUGGUAGGGGAGACUGGAAUUCCUGGUGUAGCGGUGAAAUGCGCAGAUAUCAGGAGGAACACCGAUGGGCGAAGGCAGGUCUCUGGGCCACUACUGACGCUGAGAAGCGAAAGCAUGGGGAGCGAACAGG
RNAcentral lists this ribosomal RNA (255 nucleotides) under uncultured bacterium. Its description in RNAcentral is "partial 16S ribosomal RNA". It matches the Rfam family "Bacterial small subunit ribosomal RNA", at positions 524 to 776 of the family's 1533-position model. The record is from RNAcentral.